GAUGAACGCUGGCGGCGUGCCUAAUACAUGCAAGUCGAGCGAACAGACGAGGAGCUUGCUCCUCUGAUGUUAGCGGCGGACGGGUGAGUAACACGUGGAUAACCUACCUAUAAGACUGGGAUAACUUCGGGAAACCGGAGCUAAUACCGGAUAACAUGUUGAACCGCAUGGUUCAACAGUGAAAGACGGUCUUGCUGUCACUUAUAGAUGGAUCCGCGCCGCAUUAGCUAGUUGGUAAGGUAACGGCUUACCAAGGCAACGAUGCGUAGCCGACCUGAGAGGGUGAUCGGCCACACGGGAACUGAGACACGGUCCAGACGCCUACGGGAGGCAGCAGUAGGGAAUCUUCCGCAAUGGGCGAAAGCCUGACGGAGCAACGCCGCGUGAGUGAAGAAGGUCUUCGGAUCGUAAAACGCUGUUAUUAGGGAAGAACAAAUGUGUAAGUAACUAUGCACGUCUUGACGGUACCUAAUCAGAAAGCCACGGCUAACUACGUG
RNAcentral lists this ribosomal RNA (497 nucleotides) under uncultured bacterium. RNAcentral describes it as "partial 16S ribosomal RNA". It matches the Rfam family "Bacterial small subunit ribosomal RNA", at positions 28 to 507 of the family's 1533-position model. The record is from RNAcentral.